RNAcentral lists this small nuclear RNA (104 nucleotides) under Cebus imitator (Panamanian white-faced capuchin). The record is from RNAcentral. Lineage: Eukaryota; Metazoa; Chordata; Mammalia; Primates; Cebidae.
GUGCUCACUUUGGCAGCACAUAUUCUAAAAUAGAAACCAUACAGAGAAGAUUAGCAUGGCCCCAAUGAAAGGAUGACAUGGCCCCGUGUAACAUUCAUAUUUUU